GGACUUUUGGUGGAGGAACCAAAUUCAUCAUUCACUCUGGCCCCAUGGUCAGACCCUCAGUCUCUCUGCUUCAACCCUCCUCUGAGAAGCUCUCUGGAGGCCCAGUCACACUGGCCUGCCUGCUGACCGGCUACUCUCCUCAGGGAGCUGAAGUGAGAUGGGAAGUAGAUGGCACAGAGGUGACAGAGGGGGUCCUGAACAGCUUAGAAGAAGAGAAGAGUAGUCGCUACAGCAGCAGCAGCACCCUGAUGCUGAGCCAAGAGAACUGGAUGAACACAGAGGUGUUCUCCUGCAGGGUGAACCAUCAUGACCACUGGCAGGCCAAGUCCUUCCGCAAGAACUGGUGUGAGGGCUAGAGGGGCUGCUGA
Molecule: non-coding RNA, 368 nt
Organism: Oreochromis aureus
Lineage: Eukaryota; Metazoa; Chordata; Actinopteri; Cichliformes; Cichlidae
Source: the annotation of a RefSeq genome assembly